UGGGGAAUAUUGCACAAUGGGCGAAAGCCUGAUGCAGCAACGCCGCGUGAGUGAUGAAGGCCUUCGGGUUGUAAAGCUCUGUCUUUUGGGACGAUAAUGACGGUACCAAAGGAGGAAGCCACGGCUAACUACGUGCCAGCAGCCGCGGUAAUACGUAGGUGGCAAGCGUUGUCCGGAUUUACUGGGCGUAAAGGAUGCGUAGGCGGAUUUUUAAGUGAGAUGUGAAAACCCUAAGCUUAACUUGGGGACUGCAUUUCAUACUGGAAAUCUAGAGUGCGGGAGAGGAGAAUGGAAUUCCUAGUGUAGCGGUGAAAUGCGUAGAGAUUAGGAAGAACACCAGUGGCGAAGGCGAUUCUCUGGACCGUAACUGACGCUGAGGCAUGAAAGCGUGGGUAGCAAACAGGAUUAGAUACCCUGGUAGUCCACGCCGUAAACGAUGAGUACUAGGUGUAGGAGGUAUCGACCCCUUCUGUGCCGCAGUUAACACAAUAAGUACUCCGCCUGGGAAGUACGAUCGCAAGAUUAAAACUUAAAUGAAUUGACGGGGUCAUAGCUGUUU
Molecule: ribosomal RNA, 559 nt
Filed under: uncultured bacterium
Lineage: Bacteria
Description: partial 16S ribosomal RNA
Rfam family: Bacterial small subunit ribosomal RNA
Source: RNAcentral